ACUAGAGAAGUGUUAUUGGUAACAUAUCAGGCUCAUGCCCUGAAGUUGUAGGUUCAAGUCCUAACUCUAGUA
This 72-nucleotide transfer RNA is filed under the name Pleurosigma sp. mgcode 4. RNAcentral describes it as "tRNA-Met". It matches the Rfam family "tRNA". Rfam says of the family: Transfer RNA (tRNA) molecules are approximately 80 nucleotides in length. Lineage: Eukaryota; Bacillariophyta; Bacillariophyceae; Naviculales; Pleurosigmataceae. The record is from RNAcentral.